This 505-nucleotide ribosomal RNA is filed under the name uncultured bacterium. RNAcentral describes it as "partial 16S ribosomal RNA". It matches the Rfam family "Bacterial small subunit ribosomal RNA", at positions 28 to 522 of the family's 1533-position model. The record is from RNAcentral.
GAUGAACGCUAGCUACAGGCUUAACACAUGCAAGUCGAGGGGUAACGAGAGGAAAGCUUGCUUUCCUUGUCGACGACCGGCGCACGGGUGAGUAACGCGUAUCCAACCUGCCCCCAACCAGGGAAUAACCUUGCGAAAGUAAGACUAAUACCCUAUAAUUUCCUCAGAUGACAUCUGACGAGGAAUAAAGAUUUAUCGGUUGUGGAUGGGGAUGCGUCUGAUUAGCUUGUUGGCGGGGUAACGGCCCACCAAGGCAACGAUCAGUAGGGGUUCUGAGAGGAAGGUCCCCCACAUUGGAACUGAGACACGGUCCAAACUCCUACGGGAGGCAGCAGUGAGGAAUAUUGGUCAAUGGGCGGAAGCCUGAACCAGCCAAGUAGCGUGCAGGAUGACGGCCCUAUGGGUUGUAAACUGCUUUUAUACAGGAAUAAAGUUAGCCACGUGUGGUUAUUUGUAGGUACUGUAUGAAUAAGGACCGGCUAAUUCCGUGCCAGCCGCCGCGUAA